RNAcentral lists this small nuclear RNA (141 nucleotides) under Haemaphysalis longicornis (longhorned tick). Its description in RNAcentral is "U4 spliceosomal RNA". It matches the Rfam family "U4 spliceosomal RNA". Rfam says of the family: U4 small nuclear RNA (U4 snRNA) is a component of the major U2-dependent spliceosome. The structure of U4 snRNA from yeast and human has been reported. The record is from Rfam by way of RNAcentral. Lineage: Eukaryota; Metazoa; Arthropoda; Arachnida; Ixodida; Ixodidae.
AGCUUUGCGCAGAGGCAGUGUCGCAUGCAAUGACGUUUUGCGGAGCAGCGACUAUUGCUAGUUGAAAACUUUUCCCAAUACCCCGCCUGGACGACGUGAAACACCGUCGGCCGAGGCAAUUUUUGGAAGGCCCUACGGGGC